Molecule: ribosomal RNA, 143 nt
Filed under: Bacillus anthracis (anthrax bacterium)
Lineage: Bacteria; Bacillati; Bacillota; Bacilli; Caryophanales; Bacillaceae
Description: partial 16S ribosomal RNA
Rfam family: Bacterial small subunit ribosomal RNA
Source: RNAcentral
UUUAUUGGAGAGUUUGAUCCUGGCUCAGGAUGAACGCUGGCGGCGUGCCUAAUACAUGCAAGUCGAGCGAAUGGAUUAAGAGCUUGCUCUUAUGAAGUUAGCGGCGGACGGGUGAGUAACACGUGGGUAACCUGCCCAACAGA